GGGUGAGUAACACGUAGGGAACCUGCCCGCGCACCGGGAAUACGCUCUGGAAACGGAGAACAAAUCCCGAUGUACAGGAAGGAGGCAUCUUCUUUCUGUGAAACAUCCUUUCGGGGAUGGGGCGCGGAUGGACCUGCGGUGCAUUAGUUGGUUGGCGGGGUAAAGGCCCACCAAGACGAUGAUGCAUAGCCGGCCUGAGAGGGCGGACGGCCACAUUGGGACUGAGACACGGCCCAGACUCCUGCGGGAGGCAGCAGUAGGGAAUUUUCGUCAAUGGGCGCAAGCCUGAACGAGCGAUGCCGCGUGAGUGAAGAAGGCCUUCGGGUCGUAAAGCUCUGUUGCGGGGGAAAAAAGGCAGCAUCAGGAAAUGGGUGCUGACUGAUGGUGCCCCGCCAGAAAGUCACGGCUAACUACGUGCCAGCAGCCGCGGUAAUACGUAGGUGGCGAGCGUUAUCCGGAAUGAUUGGGCGUAAAGGGUGCGCAGGCGGUCCUGCAAGUCUGGAGUGAAACGCAUGAGCUCAACUCAUGCAUGGCUUUGGAAACUGGAGGACUGGAGAGCAGGAGAGGGCGGUGGAACUCCAUGUGUAGCGGUAAAAUGCGUAGAUAUAUGGAAGAACACCAGUGGCGAAGGCGGCCGCCUGGCCUGUUGCUGACGCUGAGGCACGAAAGCGUGGGGAGCAAAUAGGAUUAGAUACCCUAGUAGUCCACGCCGUAAACGAUGAGGACCAAGUGUUGGGGGUGAAACCUCAG
This 750-nucleotide ribosomal RNA is filed under the name uncultured bacterium. RNAcentral describes it as "bacterial SSU rRNA". It matches the Rfam family "Bacterial small subunit ribosomal RNA", at positions 104 to 843 of the family's 1533-position model. The record is from RNAcentral.